AUUGAACGCUGGCGGCAUGCCUUACACAUGCAAGUCGAACGGUAACGGGCCUUCGGGUGCCGACGAGUGGCGAACGGGUGCGUAAUACAUCGGAACGUGCCCGAUCGUGGGGGAUAACGAGGCGAAAGCUUUGCUAAUACCGCAUACGAUCUACGGAUGAAAGCAGGGGACCGCAAGGCCUUGCGCGGACGGAGCGGCCGAUGGCAGAUUAGGUAGUUGGUGGGAUAAAAGCUUACCAAGCCGACGAUCUGUAGCUGGUCUGAGAGGAUGAUCAGCCACACUGGGACUGAGACACGGCCCAGACUCCUACGGGAGGCAGCAGUGGGGAAUUUUGGACAAUGGGCGCAAGCCUGAUCCAGCCAUGCCGCGUGCAGGAUGAAGGCCUUCGGGUUGUAAACUGCUUUUGUACGGAACGAAAAGCCUUCUUUUAAUACAGGAGGGUCAUGACGGUACCGUAAGAAUAAGCACCGGCUAACUACGU
This 481-nucleotide ribosomal RNA is filed under the name uncultured bacterium. RNAcentral's name for it is "partial 16S ribosomal RNA". It matches the Rfam family "Bacterial small subunit ribosomal RNA", at positions 30 to 506 of the family's 1533-position model. The record is from RNAcentral.